RNAcentral lists this ribosomal RNA (807 nucleotides) under uncultured bacterium. Its description in RNAcentral is "bacterial SSU rRNA". It matches the Rfam family "Bacterial small subunit ribosomal RNA", at positions 60 to 827 of the family's 1533-position model. The record is from RNAcentral.
AGUCGAGCGAGUCUGCCUUGAAGAUCGGAGUGCUUGCACUCUGUGAAACAAGAUACAGGCUAGCGGCGGACGGGUGAGUAACACGUGGGUAACCUGCCCAAGAGAUCGGGAUAACACCUGGAAACAGAUGCUAAUACCGGAUAACAACAGAUGAUGCCUAUCAACUGUUUAAAAGAUGGUUCUGCUAUCACUCUUGGAUGGACCUGCGGUGCAUUAGCUAGUUGGUAGGGUAACGGCCUACCAAGGCGAUGAUGCAUAGCCGAGUUGAGAGACUGAUCGGCCUCAUUGGGACUGAGACACGGCCCAAACUCCUACGGGAGGCAGCAGUAGGGAAUCUUCCACAAUGGACGCAAGUCUGGUGGAGCAACGCCGCGUGAGUGAAGAAGGGCUUCGGCUCGUAAAGCUCUGUUGUUGGUGAAGAAGGACAGGGGUAGUAACUGACCUUCGUUUGACGGUAAUCAAUUAGAAAGUCACGGCUAACUACGUGCCAGCAGCCGCGGUAAUACGUAGGUGGCAAGCGUUGUCCGGAUUUAUUGGGCGUAAAGCGAGUGCAGGCGGCUCGAUAAGUCUGAUGUGAAAGCCUUCGGCUCAACCGGAGAAUUGCAUCAGAAACUGUCGAGCUUGAGUACAGAAGAGGAGAGUGGAACUCCAUGUGUAGCGGUGAAAUGCGUAGAUAUAUGGAAGAACACCGGUGGCGAAGGCGGCUCUCUGGUCUGUUACUGACGCUGAGGCUCGAAAGCAUGGGUAGCGAACAGGAUUAGAUACCCUGGUAGUCCAUGCCGUANACGAUGAGUGCUAAGUGUUGGG